This 403-nucleotide ribosomal RNA is filed under the name Falcidens sp. A NTM-2018. Its description in RNAcentral is "partial 16S ribosomal RNA". It matches the Rfam family "Bacterial large subunit ribosomal RNA", at positions 1924 to 2599 of the family's 2925-position model. Lineage: Eukaryota; Metazoa; Mollusca; Caudofoveata; Chaetodermatida; Chaetodermatidae. The record is from RNAcentral.
UAAAUUGCCGUGGUAUUUUGACCAUGCUAAGGUAGCAUAAUCAUUUGUUUUUUAAUUGAAAUCUGGAAUGAAGGGUUGAACGAAAACUUUUCUUUAUUAGAAGAUUUUUAUAAUUUAUUUUUAGGGUGAGGAAACCUUAAUUAUAAAAUAGGACAAGAAGACCCUAUAGAGCUUUAUCUACUUACAGUACCUGUAUCCUAGUUAGUUGGGGCAACUCGGGAAAUAACUUCCUUUUAUAAUUGAUCAAUAAAUUUUUAUGAAUGAGAAGUUACCUUAGGGAUAACAGCAUAAUUUUUUUUUAGAGUUCUUAUCAAAAAGAAAGUUUGUGACCUCGAUGUUGGAUUAGGAUAUCUUUUAGGAGCAGAAAUUUAAGAAGUUGGUCUGUUCGACCAUUAAAUCCUAC